CGCGCAGAAAAUGAUCGUUAAUCAACGCGACAAGCAGAUUAGCUUUGCGUCGCUUCACUCGAAGUUUAAACGUGCGAGAGACGACCGUUUAUCGACGCGCUGUGCAACAAGCAAUCAGAAAAUUGGACGCAUUAUCGACACCCGGUUACGGAACUUAACUUACUUUACGCAGGACCGGUGUAAUGGGUCGAUGCUUUCAUUCGCUGGAACGACAUCGUGCGAAUUAGCUUUCAAAGUGGAAUAGAUACGGAAAGACUCUAUCAUCGAUACGGUUAAAAUGAGUUCGAGCUAGCGGAAAACCUAUAACCUCUCAUGGGACAAAUUUUAAGUGGAUUUUCUUUUUUUGCUUUAAUCGAAUGCACGCAAAGCGUAGCAAUCUCCACCCGUGAAUCGAUUUUGCUACGAAAAUAUGCUGUCUCACUUUAAUAAUGUAUAUGUUUUAAUUCUAAAAAAGGAGGAUUGCAAUUACAUAUUGAUAAACAGCGAUGGAUUUUCGUAUCUGAGCGAAAUUUAAAGGAAUUUCGAUAACGUUCAGCCAAGCGACAACGAUUUAUAUUUUGGAACGUAAUCGAAUUCCGUGAAAAAGAACUUCUGAGUGAAAACAUUCUGAACAAUGAUAUAAAAUUUAAAUAAAUGAAUGCAACGAUUGAAUUAUACACAGACAACAAAAAAUGGUAAUCAGCAAUCCCUUUCCCAUUCCCGUUCAAGUAAUUACAUUAUUUGCAUUUUUAUCGCUAAUAUAAAAGUCGUUCCGCGAGAAUUGCCAUGGCGAUGAAGUUUAUAACUUCUCAUAAAAAAUAACUGUCGCAAUGUAGCACGCCACAACGUAAAUCUAAUUGACCCACAUCGUGACGUACAAUUUAUAAAUGUUUUAAUCUUCUCCGAACGUUAAAACCUUUGACUGUAACUGGCACUGUAUGCGAUAAAAAUGGCCGAGAAACAAAGUGCAAUUGAAACAAAAAACCUGUACUACGGGAUGCUAAAGGGGAAUGAUAAACCAUAGUAAACCAGUAGAUAAUUGUAAACGAGCAUAAUGCAAUACAAAAUCGUACAAUAAAAUAGAGGAGUAUUACAACUCGAGAGUCUGAUUCAUAUUCUCGUGACAAUUUCAACUUGUUUUAGCGCGUACCUUGUACAGUAAACUCUCUCAUGGGUUUACCUUUAAUACUUUAUGCAGCGUGCAUCCUUUCAACGAGCGUGUUUAACGCGGUUGAAAUUUGAAGUAUUAACAACUCGCAGCACAGUACAAGGAGAUAGUCGAACAUGAAAGCCUUCGUUCGCAAAAAGAAACGCGAAAGCGGGAAAUUAAAUGAAUUAAUGCGAUAAGACACUCGCUGUACAUGCGCGCAGCUUUAAAUCGCAAAAAUGUUUUCGUCAACAUCGCUCUAAUUAAAGGGAAAACUAGGUCAUGGUAAGCGGUUGAUAAACAAUGUAUACUGCAUGCAUAUAUGUCGAAUUUAGACCUUAAGAUUGCACAAAAAAAAAGAAAAUACAAAA
Long non-coding RNA from Hylaeus volcanicus, 1497 nucleotides. RefSeq lists it as uncharacterized. NCBI's taxonomy places the organism in Eukaryota, Metazoa, Arthropoda, Insecta, Hymenoptera, Colletidae. The transcript has 2 exons. The record is from RefSeq and is a predicted model, not a curated record.